RNAcentral lists this ribosomal RNA (502 nucleotides) under uncultured bacterium. RNAcentral describes it as "partial 16S ribosomal RNA". It matches the Rfam family "Bacterial small subunit ribosomal RNA", at positions 899 to 1397 of the family's 1533-position model. The record is from RNAcentral.
ACUCAAAUGAAUAGACGGGGACCCGCACAAGCGGUGGAGCAUGUGGUUUAAUUCGAGGCAACGCGAAGAACCUUACCAGGCCUUGACAUGGGUAGUUUGGAUAGCAGAAACGUUAUCCUUCAGUUCGGCUGGCUACCACACAGGUGCUGCAUGGCUGUCGUCAGCUCGUGUCGUGAGAUGUUGGGUUAAGUCCCGCAACGAGCGCAACCCUCGUCUUUAGUUGCCAGCACGUAAUGGUGGGAACUCUAAAGAAACUGCCGGUGAUAAGCCGGAGGAAGGUGGGGAUGACGUCAAGUCUUCAUGGCCCUUACGGCCUGGGCUACACACGUGCUACAAUGGCAUUGACAAUGGGCUGCUACUUCGUGAGGAGAUGCAAAUCCCAAAAAGAUGUCUCAGUUCGGAUUGUACUCUGCAACUCGAGUACAUGAAGUUGGAAUCGCUAGUAAUCGUAGAUCAGCAUGCUACGGUGAAUACGUUCCCGGGUCUUGUACACACCGCCCGU